RNAcentral lists this long non-coding RNA (405 nucleotides) under Gossypium raimondii (Peruvian cotton). RNAcentral describes it as "long non-coding RNA (GRAI_LNC005725)". The record is from RNAcentral. Lineage: Eukaryota; Viridiplantae; Streptophyta; Magnoliopsida; Malvales; Malvaceae.
AAUAGAGUUUUAUUCAGGCAAAAAAUUUCUUGUCUUCAACUGAAAUUAUAUCAUUCAAUUUUCAAAGAAUCCAAAGUAGGGUCUGAUUUUUUCUGGUAGAAAUCAUGUCUAUGCAAGCAAAUAUUUUUAUGACCAAAACAUUAAAACCAUCGGAUACUCUGUGUUAAACAAGCAACUUCUUUUGUGUUUUGCAAUGUUAUUUACAAUACAAAACUAUUGUACAUGCUUAUACUUGAUAUGAUAAAGGCAAACCUAGUUCAGUCUAUCACAAAUCAAACACCUAAAAACCAACCAAAAUAAGAAAUUCACAACAGUAUCAUAUUGUACCAAAAUCAGCAGCAGCACAAUGAAAGCAGCCACAAUCCAAGGCAAAGACAGACAAAGAAAUGAAAAGUUCAAGAUUCA